GAUGAACGCUGGCGGCGUGCCUAAUACAUGCAAGUCGAGCGAACGGACGAGACGCUUGCUUUUCUGAUGUUAGCGGAGGACGGGUGAGUAACACGUGGAUAACCUACCUAUCAGACUGGGAUAACUUCGGGAAACCGGAGCUAAUACCGGAUGAUAUUUUGAACCGCAUGGUGCAAAGGUGAAAGACGGUCUUGCUGGAACUUAUAGCUGGAUCUGCGCUGGAUUAGCUAGUUGGUAAGGUAACGGCUUACCAAGGCAACGAUGCAUAGCCGACCUGAGGGGGGGAUCGGCCACACGGGAGCUGAGACGCGGUCCAGACGCCUACGGGAGGCAGCAGUAGGGAAUCUUCCGCAAUGGGCGAAAGCCUGACGGAGCAACGCCGCGCGAGUGAUGAAGGCCUUCGGAUCGUAAAACUCUGUUAUUAGUGAAGAACAUAUUUGUAAGUAACUGUGCACAUCUUGACGGUACCUAAUCAGAAAGCCACGGCUAACUACGUG
This 497-nucleotide ribosomal RNA is filed under the name uncultured bacterium. RNAcentral describes it as "partial 16S ribosomal RNA". It matches the Rfam family "Bacterial small subunit ribosomal RNA", at positions 28 to 507 of the family's 1533-position model. The record is from RNAcentral.